Molecule: long non-coding RNA, 1053 nt
Filed under: Homo sapiens (human)
Lineage: Eukaryota; Metazoa; Chordata; Mammalia; Primates; Hominidae
Description: non-protein coding lnc-GPT2-7:1
Source: RNAcentral
AGGAGACUGAGGUAUAAGAAUCACUUGAACCUGAGAGGUGAAGGUUACAUUGAGCCGAGAUCGUGCCACUGUACUCCAGCCUGGGUGACAGAGCGAGACCGUGUCUCAAAAAAAAAAAAAAAAAAAAAAAAAAGUCAGAAUAAACUUGCUUAAUAAAAUUUCCAUGCCUUAAGCAUUAGAACAAUCAUCUAAAUCUGCAGUGACAUUUUAAGUGCCAAAUCUUUCUCCUAGCUAUAACACUAAGAGGUCUCAAUAUCGCUUAAUCAGAAAAAAAGGAAAGAUAUCAUAGCUAAGAAAGAGAAAAAAAUGAAUGGAAUACAGGAAGCUCCUUCACUUCUGAAUUAGUCGUGAAGGUAGUCACAAUCUGGAGUUCAGUUUUUUUGUAUCAGGCACUUUUUCCUUAGUGAAUUUUAUUGGGUUAAAACAAAUCACAGUAUCAAAGAGACACAAAAUAAAAUGUGGGUAAAUCAACCAUCAAGGAAACAAUUAGGAAGCUCAAUUGCAGGGGUCCAGAUGAAGACAAGAGAGACAGAUGAAGAUAGACAGCUUAGACUAGGAUAGCAAACGUGAAAAUGAGGAGGAAUAGAUGGAUUUGGACUAUAUUUUGGAAGUCUACUAAAGCCUGGAGAUGAAAUACCUGAUCCUUAUUGCUGUUUCCAGAUAUUUCACCCUCUCACAUUCCUAAAAACCUAUAGCUUUUACUCUCAGGUCACUAGAAUAUACCACCUACUAUCUCUUGUUGCAUUGUCAAUUUAUCAGCUCCCCCAAAGUCACUCCUGCUUUCUCAAAAAUACUGGUUUCUGGCUCACUGUCUGUCCAACUCCAUUCCUGUCUUAAUUCUUGGCUUUUUCAGUGUAUAUGUAAAUGGUCCUUCCAACACCCUCACCUCUCUGUUCCUUCAACUCAUAUCCAGUGAUCGUGUCCUAUACUCCUCAGCUAUUCACUUCCAUGAUCAUAUAACUUUGCCAUUGUGAAACCCUCCUUAAUCUCAUUCUUUGACCUCUACCUCUUAUCUUUCCACUCCCUCUAAUACUGUGACUCCAGCAAUCCUUC